UGCGUGAAAUAUGAAAUCUGUGCCCACUAUUGGCCUAAUUGAACUUCUCUCUUGUUUUCACUCCCAUUGUUUUCCUCUAAAGGGUCUUCUCUAUUCCAUUUUAGGGUCUUCUCUAUUCCAUUUUCUUUCUUUUGCGAUAUGGGCCCUUAGAUAUGCAUCUACUUUAACAAGAUUUUAUUCUUCAUCAUUGUGAUAGAGUUUACAG
This 205-nucleotide unclassified non-coding RNA is filed under the name Hevea brasiliensis (rubber tree). Lineage: Eukaryota; Viridiplantae; Streptophyta; Magnoliopsida; Malpighiales; Euphorbiaceae. The record is from RNAcentral.